RNAcentral lists this ribosomal RNA (774 nucleotides) under uncultured Neocallimastigales. Its description in RNAcentral is "partial large subunit ribosomal RNA". It matches the Rfam family "Eukaryotic large subunit ribosomal RNA", at positions 22 to 643 of the family's 3401-position model. Lineage: Eukaryota; Fungi; Neocallimastigomycota; Neocallimastigomycetes; Neocallimastigales. The record is from RNAcentral.
GUACACGCUGUGACUAGCAUAUCAAUAAGCGGAGGAAAAGAAACUAACAAGGAUUCCCUUAGUAACGGCGAGUGAAGCGGGAAGAGCUCAAAUUUGAAAUCUUCAAGGUUUUACCUUGACGAAUUGUAGUUUAAAGAAGUGUUUUCUGUUGAAGUUUUGGUAAAAGUUCUUUGGAAUAGGACAUCAUAGAGGGUGAGAAUCCCGUAUUUGACCAUUAUUUUCAGCUUUGUGAUACACUUUCAAAGAGUCGGAUUGUUUGGGAAUGCAGUCCAAAAUGGGUGGUAAAUUUCAUCUAAAGCUAAAUAUUGGCGAGAGACCGAUAGCGAACAAGUACCGUGAGGGAAAGAUGAAAAGAACUUUGAAAAGAGAGUUAAACAGUACGUGAAAUUGUCAAAAGGGAAGCGUUUGACACCAGUGUUGUUUUUCUGAAAAUCAAUUAAAGAACUGUUUAUGCUAAGUUGUUUAGACUUUAUCAGCUAACUGUUUAGUUUUGAGCUUUUCUUUAAUGCACUUUUCAGUUAACAAGUCAACAUCAAUUUCUUUUGCUGUAAAAAAGCUUGAGGAAGGUGGCUUGAGAUUCGUCUUAAGUGUUUAUAGCCUCUUGCCUAUGCAGUCGGAGAGAUUGAGGUCUGCAGCGUAGAUCCUUCGGGGCUAAAUGCAUUUGUGCUAAGUUAUAGCAUUUCAUAGACAACUUGUUGACUAUGAUUUGUCUUGUAGCUUACUCGCUUAUGUUAUUUUACCUACGCUUAGGAUGUUGACACACGCGCGUGCUCG